GACGAACGCUGGCGGCGUGCUUAACACAUGCAAGUCGAACGGUAAGGCCCUUCGGGGUACACGAGUGGCGAACGGGUGAGUAACACGUGGGUGAUCUGCCCUGCACUUCGGGAUAAGCCUGGGAAACUGGGUCUAAUACCGGAUAGGACUCCUGGCUUCAUGGUUGGGGGUGGAAAGCUUUUGCGGUGUGGGAUGGGCCCGCGGCCUAUCAGCUUGUUGGUGGGGUAAUGGCCUACCAAGGCGACGACGGGUAGCCGGCCUGAGAGGGUGACCGGUCACACUGGGGCGGAGAUACGGCCCAGACUCCUACGGGAGGCAGCAGUGGGGAAUAUUGCACAAUGGGCGCAAGCCUGAUGCAGCGGCGCCGCGUGAGGGAUGACGGCCAUCGGGUUGUAAACCUCUUUCAGCUAUGACGAAGCGCAAGUGACGGUAGUAGCAGAAGAAGGACCGGCCAACUACGUGCCAGCCGCCGCCGUAA
This 478-nucleotide ribosomal RNA is filed under the name uncultured bacterium. RNAcentral describes it as "partial 16S ribosomal RNA". It matches the Rfam family "Bacterial small subunit ribosomal RNA", at positions 28 to 523 of the family's 1533-position model. The record is from RNAcentral.